CUACCGUCAGGGUAAGAUAAGCACAGAGGCACAUCUACAGUCAGGGUAAGAUAAGCACAGAGGCACAUCUACCGUCAGGGUAAGAUAAGCACAGAGGCACAUCUACAGUCAGGGUAAGAUAAGCACAGAGGCACAUCUACAGUCAGGGUAAGAUAAGCACAGUGGCACAUCUACCGUCAGGGUAAGAUAAGCACAUCUACCGUCAGGGUAAGAUAAGCACAGUGGCACAUCUACCGUCAGGGUAAGAUAAUCACAUCUACCGUCAGGGUAAGAUAAGCACAUCUACCGUCAGGGUAAGAUAAGCACAGAGGCACAUCUACCGUCAGGGUAAGAUAAGCACAGAGGCACAUCUACCGUCAGGGUAAGAUAAGCACAGUGGCACAUCUACCGUCAGGGUAAGAUAAUCACAUCUACCGUCAGGGUAAGAUAAGCACAUCUACCGUCAGGGUAAGAUAAGCACAGAGGCACAUCUACCGUCAGGGUAAGAUAAGCACAGAGGCACAUCUACAGUCAGGGUAAGAUAAGCACAGAGGCACAUCUACCGUCAGGGUAAGAUAAGCACAGAGGCACAUCUACCGUCAGGGUAAGAUAAGCACAGUGGCACAUCUACCGUCAGGGUAAGAUAAGCACAUCUACCGUCAGGGUAAGAUAAGCACAGAGGCACAUCUACCGUCAGGGUAAGAUAAGCACAGAGGCACAUCUACAGUCAGGGUAAGAUAAGCACAGAGGCACAUCUACCGUCAGGGUAAGAUAAGCACAGAGGCACAUCUACCGUCAGGGUAAGAUAAGCACAGAGGCACAUCUACCGUCAGGGUAAGAUAGGCACAGAGGCACAUCUACCGUCAGGGUAAGAUAGGCACAGAGGCACAUCUACCGUCAGGGUAAGAUAAGCACAGUGGCACAUCUACCGUCAGGGUAAGAUAAUCACAUCUACCGUCAGGGUAAGAUAAGCACAUCUACCGUCAGGGUAAGAUAAGCACAGAGGCACAUCUACCGUCAGGGUAAGAUAAGCACAGAGGCACAUCUACCGUCAGGGUAAGAUAGGCACAGAGGCACAUCUACCGUCAGGGUAAGAUAAUCACAUCUACCGUCAGGGUAAGAUAAGCACAUCUACCGUCAGGGUAAGAUAAGCACAGAGGCACAUCUACCGUCAGGGUAAGAUAAGCACAGAGGCACAUCUACAGUCAGGGUAAGAUAAGCACAGAGGCACAUCUACCGUCAGGGUAAGAUAAGCACAGAGGCACAUCUACCGUCAGGGUAAGAUAAGCACAGAGGCACAUCUACCGUCAGGGUAAGAUAAGCACAGAGGCACAUCUACCGUCAGGGUAAGAUAGGCACAGAGGCACAUCUACCGUCAGGGUAAGAUAGGCACAGAGGCACAUCUACCGUCAGGGUAAGAUAAUCACAUCUACCGUCAGGGUAAGAUAAGCACAGAGGCACAUCUACCGUCAGGGUAAGAUAAGCACAGAGGCACAUCUACCGUCAGGGUAAGAUAAGCACAUCUACCGUCAGGGUAAGAUAAGCACAGAGGCACAUCUACCGUCAGGGUAAGAUAAGCACAGAGGCACAUCUACCGUCAGGGUAAGAUAAGCACAGAGGCAC
Oncorhynchus keta (chum salmon) is the source of this 1602-nucleotide long non-coding RNA. RefSeq lists it as uncharacterized. Lineage: Eukaryota; Metazoa; Chordata; Actinopteri; Salmoniformes; Salmonidae. The transcript is spliced from 3 exons. The record is from RefSeq and is a predicted model, not a curated record.